RNAcentral lists this ribosomal RNA (420 nucleotides) under uncultured bacterium. RNAcentral describes it as "bacterial SSU rRNA". It matches the Rfam family "Bacterial small subunit ribosomal RNA", at positions 356 to 773 of the family's 1533-position model. The record is from RNAcentral.
GAGGAAUAUUGGUCAAUGGACGAGAGUCUGAACCAGCCAAGUAGCGUGAAGGAUGACUGCCCUAUGGGUUGUAAACUCCUUUUAUACGGGAAUAAAGUGAGGCACGUGUGCCUUUUUGUAUGUACCGUAUGAAUAAGGAUCGGCUAACUCCGUGCCAGCAGCCGCGGUAAUACGGAGGAUCCGAGCGUUAUCCGGAUUUAUUGGGUUUAAAGGGAGCGUAGGCGGACGCUUAAGUCAGUUGUGAAAGUUUGCGGCUCAACCGUAAAAUUGCAGUUGAUACUGGGUGUCUUGAGUACAGUAGAGGCAGGCGGAAUUCGUGGUGUAGCGGUGAAAUGCUUAGAUAUCACGAAGAACUCCGAUUGCGAAGGCAGCUUGCUGGACUGUAAUUGACGCUGAUGCUCGAAAGUGUGGGUAUCAAAC